UUAAAGGGCCGCGGUAUUCCUGACCGUGCGAAGGUAGCAUAAUCACUAGUCUUUUAAUUGGAGGCUCGUAUGAAUGGUUGGACGAAAAAUAAUCUGUCUCUUAGUUGAAAUCUGAAUUUAACAUUUAAGUGAAAAGGCUUAGAUAUAGUAAAAAGACGAUAAGACCCUAUAAAUCUUUACACCAUUUAGAAAUUUAGAGCUAGUUAUAAGUAAAAUGUUAUUAAAUAUCUUAAGGUGUUUUGUUGGGGCAACAUGGAUAAAAAAUUAUCUGUCUAUAAAAAUUACAAAAAAUUUUUGAAUAAACCUACAAGAUCCUUUAUAGAGAUUAUAAGAUUAAGUUACUUUAGGGAUAACAGCGUUAUUUUACUUGAGAGUUCAUAUCGAAAGUAAAGUUUGCGACCUCGAUGUUGAAUUAAAAUUUCUCUAUGGUGCAGCAGCUAUAGGAGAGAGUCUGUUCGACUC
This 462-nucleotide ribosomal RNA is filed under the name Paguristes sericeus. RNAcentral describes it as "partial large subunit ribosomal RNA". It matches the Rfam family "Bacterial large subunit ribosomal RNA", at positions 1923 to 2587 of the family's 2925-position model. The record is from RNAcentral. Lineage: Eukaryota; Metazoa; Arthropoda; Malacostraca; Decapoda; Diogenidae.